This 1323-nucleotide long non-coding RNA is filed under the name Canis lupus familiaris (dog). RNAcentral describes it as "lncRNA (ENSCAFG00845020229.1)". Lineage: Eukaryota; Metazoa; Chordata; Mammalia; Carnivora; Canidae. The record is from RNAcentral.
UUUUUUUUUUUUUAUAAAACAAGGAUACAAGGGAUCCCUGGGUGGCGCAGCGGUUUGGCGCCUGCCUUUGGCCCAGGGCGUGAUCCUGGAGACCUGGGAUCGAAUCCCGCGUCACGCUCCUGGUGCAUGGAGCCUGCUUUUUCUCCCUCUGCCUAUGUCUCUGCCUCUCUCUCUCUGUGUGACUAUCAUAAAUAAAUAAAAAUAAAAAUAAAAAAACAAGGAUACAAUAUGCAUUUGAUAAUUCUCUUUAAAAACAAUAUAUCUAAGCCAUAAUUCCUUUAGGAUUUUGUGUUGUAGAUGUUCUCCUAAAUUUGUCAGUUGGACUUUUUUCAGUGAAGAGAAGUUAGACUUAAGUUUGAACCGUACAGCCCAUUUUUUUUUUUUUUUUUUUUUUUAAUUUUUUUGUACAGCCCAUUUCUUGCUCCCUGUAAUAGCUCUGAGCUUCCCAAGAGAAGGGGGCUCCGCCUGCUGUGUGUUCCGAGACGACCUGCCUAAUGGUCAUUUUCCUUCCUUUCUGCUUUGCUUAGGGAUCAGUGUCUUGCCCUUUCCCAGCCUAGGGAUAGGACCGAAACUUCAGGUGGUUUAGUUCUGUCAGUUAUAUGCCACUUGAGAGAGAAAAUUUAAAUUAGCCUGGCUUCAUUACAAACACCAAAUACUUCCUAAGCCCCUUAAUGAUGGCAAUUUAAAAAUUCACUUUUUAAAAAAAGUUUUUUUUUUUUAAGGUACAAAAGGAUACACGAUGGGAAAUAAAAAAUCCUCCCCUACCUUGUCCCACUCCUCAGAAGAAAUCACUGAUAAAUUUCUUAUAUAUCUUUCCACAAAUUUUUUAAAUCCAAACACGCAAAUAUAUAUUUUUCUCUUUUACAUAAAUGGGAAUCCUACUAUGCCUACUCCUCUAUAACUUGCUUUUUUCACUUCUUUUAUAGCUAGUAUUUAAGAAAAAUCAAUAUAGAUAAAUGGUAAACAAUAACAACAACUAAACAGUUUAAAAGAAUAUGUGGAGAAAAAUAAGCCUCCACCCCACUAUGGACUAUUUGUCCCUUCCCCAGAGGCAGCCACUAAGUUUCUCGUAUACCCCUCCGGAGAUUUUCUAUACUAGCACGCAUACAUCAUAAGAAUGUCCACAACUUCUGGGUACCUGGGUAGCUAAGUUGGUAGGGCCUACUCCAACUCUUGGUUUCUGUUCAGGUCAUGAUCUCAUGGGUCCUGGGAUCAGACUGUGUCAGCCUCCUCGCUCAGUGGGGAGUCUGCUUGGAGAUUCUCUCCCUCUGUGCCUCCUCCCCUCAACCCCCCUCAAAUAAAUAAAUCUUAAAAAAAAAAAAA